This 549-nucleotide ribosomal RNA is filed under the name Acinetobacter baumannii OIFC032. RNAcentral describes it as "bacterial SSU rRNA". It matches the Rfam family "Bacterial small subunit ribosomal RNA", at positions 28 to 571 of the family's 1533-position model. The record is from RNAcentral. Lineage: Bacteria; Pseudomonadati; Pseudomonadota; Gammaproteobacteria; Moraxellales; Moraxellaceae.
AUUGAACGCUGGCGGCAGGCUUAACACAUGCAAGUCGAGCGGGGGAAGGUAGCUUGCUACUGGACCUAGCGGCGGACGGGUGAGUAAUGCUUAGGAAUCUGCCUAUUAGUGGGGGACAACAUCUCGAAAGGGAUGCUAAUACCGCAUACGUCCUACGGGAGAAAGCAGGGGAUCUUCGGACCUUGCGCUAAUAGAUGAGCCUAAGUCGGAUUAGCUAGUUGGUGGGGUAAAGGCCUACCAAGGCGACGAUCUGUAGCGGGUCUGAGAGGAUGAUCCGCCACACUGGGACUGAGACACGGCCCAGACUCCUACGGGAGGCAGCAGUGGGGAAUAUUGGACAAUGGGGGGAACCCUGAUCCAGCCAUGCCGCGUGUGUGAAGAAGGCCUUAUGGUUGUAAAGCACUUUAAGCGAGGAGGAGGCUACUUUAGUUAAUACCUAGAGAUAGUGGACGUUACUCGCAGAAUAAGCACCGGCUAACUCUGUGCCAGCAGCCGCGGUAAUACAGAGGGUGCGAGCGUUAAUCGGAUUUACUGGGCGUAAAGCGUGCG